This is a long non-coding RNA of Maniola jurtina (meadow brown), 311 nucleotides long. RefSeq lists it as uncharacterized. The record is from RefSeq and is a predicted model, not a curated record. Lineage: Eukaryota; Metazoa; Arthropoda; Insecta; Lepidoptera; Nymphalidae. The transcript is spliced from 4 exons.
CAUAACUCACACAAGAAAGGUUUUUCACCAGUAUGGGUUCUCAUGUGCGUCAGUAGAUUACCUUUUCUUGUACUUCUGUAAUUGCAUAACUUACACAAGAAAGGUUUUAUACCAGUGUGAAUUCUCAUGUGCCUCGCUAGAGAGCUAUUUCUUGUACAUUUGUAAUCACAUAAUUUACAUGAGAAAGGUUUUUCACCAGUAUGGGUUCUCAUGUGCUUCAAUAGAUGACUUUUUCUUGUACUUCUGUAAUUGCAUAACUUACACAAGAAAGGUUUUAUACCAGUGUGAGUACUCAUGUGCCUCACUAGAUA